UUCACUCGCCCAAUAACUCACUCACCCACCCACCCUCCCAAACCACUCACUCACUCACUCACUCAUUCACAACAAAUAGAUCAUUCAAUCAUCUACUCACUUACUCAUACCAAUCACUCACUCGCUCUCAUUUACUCACUCAAUCAUUCUUUCAAUCACCCAAUAACUCAUUCACCCACCCAAAGCAACCACUCACUCACUCAAACAAAUCAUUCAAUCAUCUACACUGAAUCAAUCAUCUACUCACUCACCCAUUUACCCACUCAAUCAUUCACUUACCCACCCACCCCAACCAAUCACUCAUUUACUCAAACAAACCACUCUAUCAUCUACUCAUUUAAUCCUCUACUCACUCACUCACUCACUUAUCUACUCUCCCAAAAUAAAGAAAUCUCACUCACUCACUCUCUCACUCACUCCUUCACUCAAACAAAUCACUUAAUCAUCUACUCAUUCAAUUAUCUGCUCACUGACUCAUACCAAUCAAUCUCAUUUACUCACUCAUUCACUCACUCACCCACCCAAACCAACCUCUUAUCCACUCACUNNNNNNNNNNNNNNNNNNNNNNNNNNNNNNNNNNNNNNNNNNNNNNNNNNNNNNNNNNNNNNNNNNNNNNNNNNNNNNNNNNNNNNNNNNNNNNNNNNNNUUUACUCACUCAAUCAUUUACUCACUCACCCAAGGACUUACUCACCCACCCAAUCCAACCACUAAUUCACUCCCACAAAUCACUCACUCAUCUACUCGCUCACUCACUCACUCACUCACUCACUCACUCAAACAAACCACCCAAUCAUCUACUCACUCAUUCACUAACUCAAUCAAUCAUUUACUCAAUCAUCUACUCACUCAAUCAUUCACUCACCCAGUAAGUUUAACAACAGCUCUACUCACUAACUAAUUCAGCCAUACCAAUCACUCACUCACUCACUCACCCACACCAAUCCCUCAUUUACGCAAAUAACUCAAUCACCCAAAUAAAUCACUCACUCACUCACUCACUCACUCACUCAAUCAUCUACUCUUUCACACAUGCACUAAUUCAAUCAUCUACUCACUCACUCACCCAAAUCAAUCACUAACUUUACUCACUCAAUCACUUAUUUACUCACUCAAUAACUCAUCACCCACCUAAACCAAUUACUCAUUCAUUCACUCAAUCAUCUACUCACUCACUCACUCACUCACUCACUCACUCACUCACUCACUCACUCACAACAAAUAACCCAAUCAUCUACUCACUCAUUCAUUAGCUCAAUCAAUCAUUUACUCAAUCAUCUACUCACUCAAUCAUUCACUCACCCAGUAAGUUUAACAACAGCUCUACUCACUAAUUAAUUCAGCCAUACCAAUCACUCACUCACUCACUCACUCACCCACCCACACCAAUCACUCAUUUAUGCAAAUAACUCAAUCACCCAAAUAAAUCACUCACUCACUCACUCACUCACUCACUCACUCACUCACUCACUCUUUCACACAUGCACUAAUUCAGUCAUCUACUCACUCACUCACCCAAAUCAAUCACUAAUUUAACUCACUCAAUCACUUAUUUACUCACUCAAUAACUCUUAUUACCCACCUAAACCAAUUACUCAUUCAUUCACUCAAUCAUCUACUCACUCACUCACUCACUCACUCACUCACUCACUCACUCACUCCCUCACUCACUCGCUCACUCACUCAUUCAUUCAUUCAUUCAUUCAUUCAUUCAUUCAUUCAUUCACUCAUUCACUCAUUCAUUCAUUCAUUCAUUCAUUCAUUCAUUCAUUCACAAAGUGCAGGCAAAUCAACCACAAGCCAAAUCCAGGAACAUUUGAAGAAAAGCAUUGAGAUCAGUGCUGAAACAGAACAUCUCAGCAAUCAAAAACACUGAUAAUCACAAUCUGUAGACGCAUAAAUAAAUCUCUAAUAAUAAAUAUGAUACACGCUUCUGUAGGUAAAUCAGUGCAAAAGAGUAGAAGAUCAUUACAGAUGUCUGAAAAACACCAAAUAAACAGGGAAACCAGGUCCAGAAAUGAGAGAAGAUCCAACAGAAACAAAAGCAGACGGAGGUCAAAUGAAGAAGACACAGAAGAAGAGGGAUUUACAGACGAGGUUUCUCACAGCAGAACUCAACUCAUUUCCUGAAGACGCUGCCCGAUCUCCUCCAUCUGAUGCAAAGCAGGAGUUUCUCAGUCUGGAUGAAGAUCUGGACCACUGCUUAAAUCCUAAUGAAAGAUGCUGUCGUGGAAGAAAUCAGCACGCAGGGUUAUUCUGGAGGAGUUUAUUCUCAAUCAUCCCCUUUUGUGGAAGAAGAGACCAGCGUUCACCCAUAGAGAAGAUGCACUGCGGCAAAGCUUCUCUCAUUUAGAGUUUAUGUCCUGUUUCUAGUCCAAAUAUCUGAACAUUCUGAAAUCAAGAAGCAUUUUCUGGACAAGCAAUACAUCUAGUCUUGAUUAAGAAAUAAAGAGUAAAAAUUAAGUGAGUUUUUCAUUAAAACAAGCAAAAUAAUCUGACAAUGAGGGAAUAACUUAAUAAAUAAUCUUGUUUUUGCUUUGAAAUCUGGUUAUUUUAUCUACCCAAUGGUAGAUUAUUUACUUUAACUUGAAAAAUCUGAAAUAAUGCAUCAAAAUUAAAUGAAAAAAAAAGAUAAUUCUGUCAGUAUUAUACUCAUCAUUUCAAACCUUCUUUCUUCUACAGAACACAGAAGAAGAAUGUUAGAAGAAUGUUGGAAACCUGUAACCACUGACUUUCACAGCAUUUGUUUUUCCUUCUAUGAAAGUCAAAGGUUUUUAGCUGUUUUUGUAAAUUUCUUCCUUUAUUAAGUUAACCUAACAAAUUAAAGUGUAUUGAACAUAAAUCAGUUAAUUUGUCCCCUGAAUAUCUCAAAAAUUGAGUUGUUUCAGCUUAUUUUAAAUAGGUAGUUUGAACAAACAGCUCAGAUUGUUUGAGCAAACAGAAGAAACUUAUGUAAACAGUAAGUAAACUGUAUUUUUUUUGCGUGAACUAUCACUUUAAGUGAGUUUUGCCUUAAAACAAGCAAAAUAAUCUCCCAAUGGGGUGAGAAAAAUAAUAAAUAAUCUCGUUUUUGCUUUGAAAUCUGAUUAUUUUAUUUACCCCACUGGUAGGUUAUUUACCUAAACUUAAAAAAAUCUGAAAUAAUACAUCAAAAUUAAAGGGAUAGUCCAUCCAAAAAUGACAAUUCUGUCAUUAUUUACUCAUUUACUUGUUUUAAGCCUUUGAGUUUCUUUCUUCUGUUAAAGACAAAAUAAGAUAGUUUGAAGAAUGUUGUAAACCAAUAACCAUUGACUUCCAUAGCGUUUAUUAUUCCUUCAGUGAAAGUCAAUGGUGUUAACUUUUUUUCUUUAAAACAUCAAACUUCACAAAUUUAAGUGUUUACAACAAAACAAUUAAGUUGUCCACCAAAUAUGUCAAGGAUUGUGUUGUUCCAGCUCAUUUUAAUUAAGUAGUUUGAACAAACAGCAAUCAUUUCUUUGAGUGAACAGAAGAAACUCAUAGAGGUUUAAAACCACUAGAGGAGUGUAAACAGUGAGUAAAAUGACAUUUUUUUUGCGUGAACUACCCCUUUAAGUGAGUCUUGCCUUAAAACAAGCAAAAUAACCUCCCAAUGAGGUGAACAAAAUAAUAAAUAAUCUUGUUUUUCACUUGAAACCUGAUUAUUUUAUUUACUCACUGGUAGAUAAUUUACUUAAACGUGAAAAAUCUGAAAUAAUACAUCAAAAUUAACAUAUUAGUUCAUCCAAAAAUGACAAUUCUGUCAUAAUUUACUCACCAUUUACUUGUUUCAAACCCUUUUUAUUCUAUUAAACACAAAAGAAGAUAUUUUGAAGAAUGUUGGAAACCUGUAACCAGCAUUUGUUUUUCCUUCUACAGAAGUCAGUGGUUUUGUUUGCCCCAUUGGCAGAUUGUUUUGCUUGUUUUAAGGAAAAAAUUACUAAUAUUUUUUGUCAGACAAAGUUUCUAGUAACCAUUGACUUCCAUGGUAUUUGUUUUUCUGCUUCAUCUUCAUUAGUUUAACAACAGAAAGAAACCAACAGAGGUUAAAAAACCACUUGUGGCAGAGUAAACAGUGAGUAAAUUUACAUUUUUUCAUGAACUACCCCUUUAAAUGAGUUUUCCUUUAAAACAAGCUAAAUAAUCAGCCAAUAGGGUGAGCAGAAUAAUAGUUUUCCAUGUGAUAUGUGUUUGUGAUUGACAGGAUAAUUGACAGCUUUGGAUAUAAGCGUCUACUACAGUAAACGACUAAAUGUAGAUUAUUUUAAAGAAUGUUGGAAACCUGUAACCAUUGACUUCUAUAGUAUUUGUUGCUCCUACUCAGUGGUUACAGGUUUACAGGGUUGCCAGGUCCAUGUACCUCCAGCCCAAUGAUAACUCAAAACCUUCCCUUAAGGAAUGAAAAGCAGCCCAUUGUUAUUUUAUAACCACCUGAGAGAGAGUAAAUAGGGAGUACACAGGGAUACACUGAAAAAAAUGUUUCAUUGGAUUAACAAAAUAUUUUUAAAGGUAAGUGGCUGCAAAACAACUGAUAUGAGCUGAAUUUAAACAAACAUAUGAAGGUGAACAUUGCUAAAUUUCAUUUGUUUGUUUAAAUUCAGCCCAUAUGAGUUGUUUGCAACCUCUUACCUUCAAUGCAUGCAAAAUAAUCUAACUUUCAGAUUAAAUUUGUGUAUUUCUCUUACCCUAUUGGCAGAUUAUUUAACAUAUACUUAAUGAAAAACUCUCUUCAUUUGGACUCAUUAUUUCUGAAAGCAAGACUAUAUUUAGUGCUGGUCUAUAAAAUGUUCCUGAUUUGAGCAUUUUGAGUUGUUUGGACUGGAAACAGGAGUAAAGCUGUAAGUAAGAAGAGCCUGUUUUGCAGUGCAGGGUUGUGUUUCUCUGUGCUGCGGCUGCGAGAGGCGCUGUCAGACCUGCACCCCGCGGCCGUGCAUCUGGAUCACCUGCGCUCUCAGAGUCUGAAUGGCCGACAGGAUCUGCUUCUGGUGCUCCAGACAGGUGAUGCCCAGACUCAACACAUCCCUGAAACACACACACACACACACACAGAUGAAGAGCAUGCACACACACACACACACACACACACACACACACACACACACACACACACACACACACACACACUCUAGCUAUUUCCAAUCCAAAGAUGCACAUUUUUGUAAAAUAAAACAAAGCAAAAUAUUGGAGGUAUAUAGUUUUUUUUAUUGUAAAAUAUUGCAUAAAAAUAUUAUUUGAUCAAAUAUUUAUUACAAAACAUUCCAAACUAGUGCGGUAUAUGAAUAAUAAUAAUAAAAAAAAUUCUGUAUGAUAUUAAGAAACAGAGAAAGAACAACAAUAAUAUUUAACAACAGCAGUAAUAAUGUCCACAUUCUGGAUUGAAUUAGAAUUUUAGUAAAAUCAUCUUCUUUUUGUUCUUCUUUAUUAAUUUAUUUAUUCGUUAAUGAUAAUAAUAAUUAAAUAAAUUUUUUCAGUGACACUGCCUAAUUUCACCAAGUCAAAAAACAAUAUAUUAUUAUUAUUAUCUUCUUCAUCAUCAUCAUCAUUAUUAUCAUUAGUAGUAUUAGUUGUAUUAUUAUUAUUAUUAUUAUUAUUAUCAUUAUUAUUAAUAAUUUUAUUAUUAUUAUUAUAAUCAUCAUCAUUAUUAUUAAUUUUAUUAUUAUCAUUAAAAUUAUUAUUAUUAUUAUUACUAUUAUCAUCAUUAU
Danio rerio (zebrafish) is the source of this 5697-nucleotide long non-coding RNA. NCBI's taxonomy places the organism in Eukaryota, Metazoa, Chordata, Actinopteri, Cypriniformes, Danionidae. The record is from Ensembl.